AGUGAUUCCUCCAGCUCAGCCUCCCAAGUAGCUGGGAUUACAGGAUUCCAUAUCAGGAUACCACAGGACACUGAGUCCUUAGGUUCUUCCCGGCUGUGAUCGUUUCUCAGGCCUACAUUGUUUUUGAUGACCUUGAUGGUUUUAGGGGGUACUAGUCAGGUGUUUUUGGGAACUGUUUCUCAGCUGAGGUUUGUCUGAUGUAGUGGGAUUAUUAGUUUUGGGAGGGAACAUGUCAAGGUAAAAUGCCAUUCUCAUCCUGUCGUAUGAUACACACUUUCAACUUGACUGAUCACUGCUCACACUGGCCUUGAUCACCUGGCUGAGACAGUGUUUGUUAGGUUUCUCCAACGUGAAGUUACUCUUUUUCCUCCUUUGCUAUACUGAGUUCUUGGUAGGAUGUCAUUAUGUGAAGCCCACAGUUUAGAAGUGGGGAGUGAUGCUCUGCUUCCUGGAGUGUCUGAUCUCCUUUUGAAAUGAUUUUUCAUGCUGAACACAGAGUAAUUAAAGUAAGAAAAAUACGGAUAUUGAAUGACUAGUUGCAAGAAGUCCAUUAUGACAUCUGACAUGAAAAAUUAUCUAUCUACCUGUCUAUUAAACGAUUAUAUCUGUGUAUACAAACAUUAAAUACUAAGCUAUGCA
This 639-nucleotide long non-coding RNA is filed under the name Homo sapiens (human). RNAcentral describes it as "HSALNT0351913". The record is from RNAcentral. Lineage: Eukaryota; Metazoa; Chordata; Mammalia; Primates; Hominidae.